Molecule: long non-coding RNA, 291 nt
Filed under: Medicago truncatula (barrel medic)
Lineage: Eukaryota; Viridiplantae; Streptophyta; Magnoliopsida; Fabales; Fabaceae
Description: long non-coding RNA (MTRU_LNC000458)
Source: RNAcentral
UACAUUCAUUCACUCCACAAAGUAUUUUGAGAGGUAGAGAGAGAAAAUAGAUCUUAAGAGGAGAAGAAUAAAGAAAGGGUUAGAAAGAAGGAAAACUUGAAGAGAGGAAGAUACUGGAGACUUGGAGGAUUUAAAGUGAAACCAUAGUUAAGAUUUCGGAAGCUAGAGGUAAGGGGGAUGGUUUCCUUUUCACAUUUAAGCUAUAAUCUACUAUUUUCAAUUAUGGGAUUUAAGUGCUUUUAUGUUAAUUGUGGAUUUUGUGAUUUUUAUGUUGAAUUUCGUGCUCAUAAU